UUCACUACACUUCCUGUGAGAUAGCAGAAGUAUAAAUGGCAGUCAGUUGCACGCAUGCUAAAUGUACACUGUAUUGUGUUGCAUCUGUUCUGCUAACAGUCAUACACUAGAUUCACUCAUUUAAUGUCAUUUGUUAUCUAACUAAACUUUCAUUGCUUUACAUACACUUCUGCCAGGUUCAACAUUGAAACCAGCAACACCUUCUUCAUCAUCAUCAUCAUCAUCAUCAUCAUCCACAGUUUAUACCAGCUUCUCCAUCAGCAGGAUUUUCAGCUUCCACUGUGAUCACUGUGUCUUUAAUUGUGCUGCUGCUUCUAAUUGGAAUUACAUUAAUCACUUUGACUUUACAAAAGAGACGCAAAAUUGAAGGUAGAGCUUCUACUGUCCAGUGUUCUGUCCUAAACUCAGGAAAUAACCAAGAGGUUCCUCUUACUGUUUGUGAGUAUGAGGAGAUUAAAGACACCAGACGCCUUCACGCCUCAGAGCGUGAAACUUCUGCAGUUUACUCUACUGUUCAACUACCCACAAUCCCCUCUGAUCAGGACAUCUACUUCACAGCUCAGUUACCCACAGGUCAAUCAGCUGAGAAAUCUGCUGAAGGUCUGACUUACGCAGCACUGAGUUUUCACACAAAUGCCACCAGCCCUAAUGAUGCAGUUCCAAAGAUUAGGGAAGACUACGCUGACUACACUUCAGUCAGUCACAUUACUUCAUCUGAUUAAUCUCCCUAUCUGUCUCAGGACAACAUUUUCACCAACUGCCAUUUCAGUAACAUACACAAAUACCUCUCUUUUAUUAUUAUGCAUUGAAGAAACCUUAUUCUUAUUCUUUACAAUUUUAUUUUGCUUUGGGUUAAACCCACAGCUAUUGCAUGAUAAAAAGGGCCAAAGUUUUAGCCUAAAUUAUCUGAUCACUGCACUGUAAACCCGAAUAAGUUGGCAAAACUCAAAAAAUUUUAGGUAAUCAAUUACAUCAAUUUUUUUAAGUAAUGAUUUUUCCAGUUUUAAGUAAAUGGAACUAUGAGUUUUUGAGUUUGUUGUACAAUUUUUUUUUAGUUGUUGCAAAUCAAAUAAAUUGUUGUUGGUCUUUCGGCUGCUCCCGGCAAUCGGUCGCUACAUCAGACAAUCCGUCCCGCACACAAGCUGAGCACAGGUUUUAUGCCAGAUGCCCUUCCUGACACAACCCUUCCAUUUUAUCUGGGCUUGAGACAGGCACUUCAUCCAGUUGUUGGGAAUCGAACCCGGGCCUUUCACAUGGCGGGCGAAACACCUACCACUGAGCCACCAGUGCCCCAUUGCCUUGAUGACGUCAGACACAAAAUCGCUAGUCUGAAAUAUUUUAAGUUGGUGGAACUUUAAGGUGACAGUUACCGUUACUUAACUACUUAAAACAUACUUAAAAUAAAAUUGGUUCAGCUAACUUGAAAAGUGUCAUUUCUACAAACUCAUAAAUACCAAAAAGUUCUAAAUACUCAUAAAGUUCUAUUAAUUUGAACUAAUUGUAAUUAUUUAAGUUAACAUUACUCAAUAUGGUUAAUUACUUUAAGCAUUAGGGUUUACAGUGUGCUGGGCCUUUAGUUUCAUAUCCACUUUAAUGCUGGAGCCUGUUGUUUCUUCUUUAAGGAUGAUAAGUGCAGUUCAUGUUUGGUCACAUUUCAACAGUCCUGUGGUGUCAUUUGGUAUAUGAUGGAGCUCUGUCAGCUAGCCAUAAUCUCCAGAAAGUAUUAAAUAUCAGUCACAGUCACAAUAAACACUUUACCUUUAUGUGUUCAUUUAUACAUGUGAGCCAGACUGAUGAGAUGUGAUACUGUAAGAUGGAAGCAGUCCUACACUCUAAAAACUAACUCAGAGGACCUUUUACCACUACUUGAUUUAAUACAUGGAUGCAAGUUAAACAUUCUAAUUAAUUGAUUUAGAUGAACUUUCUAAGUUGCAAACUUUAUUUUUAUAAGUUGUGAUCAAAUAAUAAUGCUGGUAAUUAUAUUAACUUAAUUUUGCAUGUAAUUUAAACUCAACAUUAAUUGUUAAUGGGUUGAAAACAAAAUUUAAGUUGUCUUAACUUUAAAAAGUUGGCAUAAUAAGUAAAUUUUUUAAAGUUAUAUCCUACCCCCUAUGCCUGGACGUGUUCCAGUGGUAAGAUUGUGUGUUAGCAGACUUAUAGGCUAACCAAACUCAAUAUAAACAAAAUUUCAUGGUGAGUAACACUUCAAUUUACAUCUAAUAGUUCUACUAAAGUAAUGAAUUUGCACUUGUUUCAUUGAGAUAUCUGCUCAGCAAGAGAGCUGUUUGGAAAAACAUUAUUCAAGUUUUGCUAAUUUGACCAUUUGACUGUAAGCUACAUAAUGUUAACUAAUUUCAGUCACAGCCACAGUUUUUAAAAGUCUUUUGUUCAUUCACAUAGAUGGCUGUGUGCUUCCACUGUAGACAAAUUGUAGUAGCAAAGAAGUAAAAGCAGAGUGUUUCUUUUAUUUUAGUUUGCUUGUAUUUUAGUUACUUUUGUAAUACAAUUCAAAGUUAAUAUUUGUCUGGGUUUUGUGGUAUUUUUCAUAACAUUAAAGGGUAUGUAAAAUGUUGGCAUUGUGAUUCUGACAGUAUCACUCAGGUGUAUGUGUCCACCUGAAAUUAAUAUUUUGCAUCAAUAGUUAUUCAAUAGACAUUAUCAAUCUAAAUAGAUUAGUGUGUUGUUAAGUUUGACAAUAUUGUUUUAAAAAAUGGGCUGUAAGUGCAAACUGUAAAUGUAUCUCUCUCAUUGGAAAUGACUGGUGUCAUUCAGAGCUUAGUCUUUUGGAAUGUUCUAUGACAUGCUACUUGGCUUUUGACUGUAAUAUUUAUUGAGAUUUGCCUAACUUUGUUGUGAUAGCAUAAUUUAUUAUGCUUAGUUAUUCUUAA
Clarias gariepinus (North African catfish) is the source of this 2888-nucleotide long non-coding RNA. RefSeq lists it as uncharacterized. The transcript is spliced from 4 exons. Lineage: Eukaryota; Metazoa; Chordata; Actinopteri; Siluriformes; Clariidae. The record is from RefSeq and is a predicted model, not a curated record.